Molecule: ribosomal RNA, 440 nt
Filed under: uncultured bacterium
Lineage: Bacteria
Description: partial 16S ribosomal RNA
Rfam family: Bacterial small subunit ribosomal RNA
Source: RNAcentral
CCUACGGGUGGCAGCAGUGAGGAAUAUUGGGCAAUGGACGCAACUCUGACCCAGCCAUGCCGCGUGAGUGAAGAAGGUUCUCGGAUUGUUAAGCUCUUCCGGAUGUGACGAUGAUGACGGUAGCAUCUAAAGAAUCCCCGGCUAACUUCGUGACAGCAGCCGCGGUAAUACGAAGGAGGCAAGCGUUGUUCGGAAUUAAUGGGCGUAAAGGGAGUGUAGGCGGUUUAGUAAGAUAGUGGUGAAAUGCCAGGGCUUAACUUUGGAAUUGCCAUCAUAACUAUUAGACUAGAGUUACAGAGAGGAUAGUGGAAUACCCGGUGUAGAGGUGAAAUGCGUAGAUAUUGGGUAGAACACCGGUGGCGAAGGCGACUAUCUGGCUGUACAUUGACGCUGAGGCUCGAAAGCAUGGGGAUCAAACAGGAUUAGAUACCCUGGUAGUC